This is an RNA transcript of Panicum hallii, 2747 nucleotides long. It is a transcript of the gene named putative AC transposase, with no coding region annotated. The transcript is spliced from 5 exons. The record is from RefSeq and is a predicted model, not a curated record. NCBI's taxonomy places the organism in Eukaryota, Viridiplantae, Streptophyta, Magnoliopsida, Poales, Poaceae.
AUGGGGAACUCGACCCUCACCGACAUGACGCUCCUGCCCGGCGUCGAGACGAUCGUGGCGGGGCUGGCCGCCGGCUCCUCCUCCCCGGGCCAGGAUGGCAAGGUCAAGAAGAAGCCCAUGAAGUCCCUCUACCUCAAGUUCUUCGACACGGCGCCCGACGGCAAGUCCCGCAUCUGCAGGCUCUGCAGGAAGAGCUACUGCAUGACCACUGCCACGGGGAAUUUGGGAAAGCAUCUUAAUAACCGCCACCCUGGUUAUCACCAACUUCCUGAAGGCCCCAGCUUCACUGCUCAGAGUACCGUACAGACUACCAUGGUUACUAGAAGCGAGAAACCUCAUGUUCCAGUGCGAGCUCGGGCCCAAGCACAGCCUCAAGUUCAAAGUCAAUCUCAAAUUCAAGAUCAACCUCAAGCUAAAGUUCAUUCUCAACCUAAGACGAAACCAACUGUUGAUGUUGACCAUGUCAACUGGUUACUUCUUAGGUGGCUUAUUGGCUCCUCCCUUCCGCCUUCCACCCUUGAAGAUAAUAUGCUUAUUGACAGUUGCAAGUACCUGAGCUCGUCUGUCAGGCUUUGGCCAAAAGAAAAGGUUCAAGAAAUUACCCUAGAGGUGUUCAGAAGUAUGAAGGAGGAUGUCAAGGCAUCUCUGCAACAUAUCAGUUCCCGGCUCUCUGUUACUCUGGACUUUUGGACUUCGUACGAGAAAAUCGUAUACAUGUCCGUCAAGUGCCAUUGGAUUGAUGAAAACUGGGUCUCGCAGAAAGUUCUACUUGAUGUGUGUCGUAUCCCAUACCCAUGCACUGGCCCCAAGAUUUUUCAAGUUCUAAUGGAUGUCUUAGUGUCAUAUAACAUUGAUUCAAGAGUCCUUGCUUGCACACACAAUAACAGCCAAAAUUCAAUAAACGCUUGUCAUGAGCAUGAGCUCGGACGGGAGCUUGAGUCCCAUAAGCUGCCCUUUUGUUACAUUCCUUGUGCUGCCAGAACACUGAAGGUUAUUAUUGAAGCAGGCCUGGAAAAUGUCAAACCAAUUUUGUCCAAGAUCCGUGAGUUUAUUCUUCAGACCAAUUCAAACCAGGAAAUGAUGGAGGACUUUAAGCACUGGACUGAAGUUUAUCAAGAAGGCUCAUGGAAACUCCCCUUUGACCAUUCAGCAAAUUGGAGCAGCGAUUAUAAUAUGCUUGAUGUGGUAAAGAAGGCACCUAAUGCAAUGGAUAGCACCAUCAAGAAGGUUGAAGAGAUCUUCGGACCAAGGGAUUGGGUUCUGAGUACUGCAGAAAAGUCGGUGAUCGAUUCGUUGCACUCGUACCUUGAGCCUUUUUUCAAAACUACUACCAACCUUUGUAAUUGCAAACUACCAACUGUUGGGCUGGUCUUCUUCUUCAUGGACCAUGUCACUGAGUUGAUCAACAUGUCCAAGAAUGGCUCAUCCCAUGACAGCAGCCACCAAGAAUGGCUCAAGAACAUUGCCAGUGACAUGUCCGAGACAGCUCGUAAGUUCAUAUCUGAAGCUUACAGCAUCUACACCUUCACAGCUGCAAUUCUUGACCCAAGGAUUAAAGGAGAGCUCAUCCCUGAAACCCUGAACUCUGCACGUAACUUAGAAGGUGCAAGGAACCAUUUUGUCAGGGACUACAGCAACACCUUCCAAGCUGUUGGAAAUGGUCAUGGUGCUCAGGACACCACGGAGGAAGCUGGCGCAUUCUCCUUUGCUGAAGAGAUUAUUCGUAAACGACGUCGGGUGAGCAUGACCACUGCUGCUGACGAGCUCUCUCAGUAUCUCGCGGAGCCCCCUGCACCAAUUUCCACUGAUGCCCUUGAAUGGUGGAGGGGGCAUUCCUCCCGCUACCCACGGCUCUCCUUGAUGGCCCGAGACUAUUUGGCGAUUCAGGGGACCUCAAUAGAUCCUGAAGAAUUGUUCACAAGUAAAGGGGACAACAUCCACAAGCAGCAGUACUGCCUUCCCCUUAGUAGUAUGCAGGCUACAAUGUGCAUAAAAUCAUGGAUGCAAAGUGGGUAUCUCUUCAAUUUUCAGUCAACCAUCAUAGAUUUCGAGAGUUUGGUCAAAUCUGCUACUGCUUCUGGUGAUAUUGAUGAUUCUAGCCUUCUUCAUAACUGAAUGAUCAUUUGCUACCUCAACGCUCCAAUACUUUUCUACUGGAAAAGGUGGACCUCUGAGUCAAAGGACUAAAGAAAUGGCAUGUUCACAAGACCAUCGCCGAUGAUUCAUUUUCUGAACAGGAACUUGUGCUCAUUCUACUGAUAAUAUGUUCAAUCAGUCCUCGAGAGAAAGGAAGCUGUUCUCCAUCAUUGAGCACCAGCGGCAUCUCCGUCCUCUGGUCACUCGCCAAUCGCCGUCCCAGUUGCAUUACAGAAUUGUUUGACCUGCAGAAAAACACCAGUUCUUGGACGAUGAUGACCCAAGAUCAUGUGCUACGCUAUCAAUGUUUUGUGGCAGAAAAUAGCUAGUGUCAGAGUACAGGGUCUUGUAAUCUAUCACAUCACGCCCCCCAAUUAAGACAUCUGACAGGCAGUCGUGGAGCCAUGCUGUAUUUUUACAAGCUCUCCAUCAGUUCGUGCAGAUCAGGUAGAGGUCGAUUCAUCUGGAUCUCUCUCCAUGUGGGAAGAAUCCUUACUUGCAAGGUCAUCCAUGCUUCACUGACCGACCAAAUGGCAAAACAAUGCUGCAUUUUUUUUCCAUCUACCUCAGAAGCUGCCCGUCUCGUUCAUUGGGAUUUGGGCUUGAUAUUA